ACAGAUGGUUACAGUUCUGGUUCACUUGUCCCACCAAUUUUACUAUGGGAGUGGUUGAAGAAAAUGUUCAUUGAAGCAGAAUGAUGAUGGGAACAAUGGACAAUGUCAUAGGCUAUUUCCUUAAUGGUGGAGAUACUGUUGGAUCAGAUAGUCUUUCAGAUGAUUGCUGAUCAAUGAACAAACAAAUGAAUUCCACACGAGAGUUCUUAUAUACGUGCCCUGGUAACAUUGACCUUUGCUUUCACUCUUUUCGGGGAAAGUCAGGAUUUUUAUCUUUUAUUGUUUUAGAUGUCAUCUUCUUGUUAAUUUUACCCAACACCUGCAUAUAUUAUUUCAUUAUGACUUAUUUUUAUAGGGGACAAGAGUCCACAGGUUUGAUGAUAUGAUUAUACAAUACAUUAUCGUAUUUCUCCUAUUAGUGUGUCUCUCUCUUCCCUCCAAAUUCCUUUCUCCAUCUUUCCCCUUUCUCUAUACAAACAACAAAAAAAGACAAGAUUUGGAGGUGAGGAAAGACACAUCAUAUUUAACCUGAAUUCCUGUCCCUCACAUAACUGAAG
RNAcentral lists this long non-coding RNA (557 nucleotides) under Androctonus crassicauda. The record is from RNAcentral. Lineage: Eukaryota; Metazoa; Arthropoda; Arachnida; Scorpiones; Buthidae.